GAUGAAGAACGUAGCAAAAUGCGAUAAGUAAUGUGAAUUGCAGAAUUCAGUGAAUCAUCGAAUCUUUGAACGCACAUUGCGCCCGCCAGUAUUCUGGCGGGCAUGCCUGUUCGAGCGUCAUUUCAACCCUCAAGCACAGCUUGGUGUUGGGACUCGCGUUAAUUCGCGUUCCCCAAAUUGAUUGGCGGUCACGUCGAGCUUCCAUAGCGUAGUAGUAAAACCCUCGUUACUGGUAAUCGUCGCGGCCACGCCGUUAAAUCCCAACUUCUGAAUGUUGACCUCGGAUCAGGUAGGAAUACCCGCUGAACUUAAGCAUAUCAAUAAGCGGAGGA
RNAcentral lists this unclassified non-coding RNA (332 nucleotides) under soil metagenome. RNAcentral's name for it is "partial contains 5.8S ribosomal RNA, internal transcribed spacer 2, and large subunit ribosomal RNA". The stretch from base 1 to 120 matches the Rfam family "5.8S ribosomal RNA", at positions 35 to 154 of the family's 154-position model. The record is from RNAcentral.